RNAcentral lists this ribosomal RNA (791 nucleotides) under uncultured archaeon. Its description in RNAcentral is "bacterial SSU rRNA". It matches the Rfam family "Archaeal small subunit ribosomal RNA", at positions 85 to 879 of the family's 1478-position model. The record is from RNAcentral.
ACUGCUCAGUAACACGUGGAUAACCUGCCCAAGGGUCUGGGAUAACCCCGGGAAACUGGGGAUAAUACCGGAUGGAUCACUUAUGCUGGAAUGCUUGGUGGUCGAAAGGUGACGCCCUUGGAUGGGUCUGCGGCGGAUUAGGUUGACGCCGGUGUAACGUACCGGCGUGCCUGUAAUCCGUACGGGUUGUGGGAGCAAGAGCCCGGAGAUGGAUUCUGAGACACGAAUCCAGGCCCUACGGGGCGCAGCAGGCGCGAAAACUCUACAAUGCAGGCAACUGCGAUAGGGGGACAUCGAGUGGCAUCCACCUUGGGUGCCUGUCCCACCGUCUAAAAAACGGUGGUUAGCAAGGGCCGGGCAAGACCGGUGCCAGCCGCCGCGGUAAUACCGGCGGCUCGAGUGGUGGCCGAUAUUAUUGAGUCUAAAGGGUCCGUAGCCGGCUUUGCAAGUCCCCUGGGAAAUCCAGCGGCUUAACCGUUGGGCUUUCAUGGGAUACUACAUUGCUUGGGACUGGGAGAGGUAGGAGGUACUCGGGGGGUAGGGGUGAAAUCCUGUAAUCCCCCGGGGACCACCGGUGGCGAAGGCGUCCUACCAGAACAGGUCCGACGGUGAGGGACGAAAGCUAGGGGCACGAACCGGAUUAGAUACCCGGGUAGUCCUAGCCGUAAACGAUGCCCGCUAGGUGUCACGGCGGUCGUGAAUCGCCGUGGUGCCGUAGGGAAGCCGCGAAGCGGGCCACUUGGGAAGUACGGCCGCAAGGCUGAAACUUAAAGGAAUUGGCGGGGGAGCAC